AACGAACGCUGGCGGCAUGCCUAACACAUGCAAGUCGAACGAGACCUUCGGGUCUAGUGGCGCACGGGUGCGUAACGCGUGGGAACCUGCCCUUAGGUUCGGAAUAACUCCCCGAAAGGGGUGCUAAUACCGGAUAAUGUCUUCGGACCAAAGAUUUAUCGCCUUUGGAUGGGCCCGCGUUGGAUUAGCUAGUUGGUAGGGUAAAAGCCUACCAAGGCGACGAUCCAUAGCUGGUCUGAGAGGAUGAUCAGCCACACUGGGACUGAGAUACGGCCCAGACUCCUACGGGAGGCAGCAGUGGGGAAUAUUGGACAAUGGGCGAAAGCCUGAUCCAGCAAUGCCGCGUGAGUGAUGAAGGCCUUAGGGUUGUAAAGCUCUUUUACCCGGGAUGAUAAUGACAGUACCGGGAGAAUAAACUCCGGCUAACUCCGU
Molecule: ribosomal RNA, 432 nt
Filed under: uncultured bacterium
Lineage: Bacteria
Description: partial 16S ribosomal RNA
Rfam family: Bacterial small subunit ribosomal RNA
Source: RNAcentral